This 3042-nucleotide small RNA is filed under the name Cryptococcus neoformans H99. Its description in RNAcentral is "Cryptococcus neoformans var. grubii H99 hypothetical RNA". The record is from RNAcentral. Lineage: Eukaryota; Fungi; Basidiomycota; Tremellomycetes; Tremellales; Cryptococcaceae.
CUUUCUUGGGAGAAAAGGCGGAUAAAGACUCGUCACAAUUUAAGCACAAAAAAGGCAGCCACCAGCUGUGUUGUUUCUUUUCCUGAAACAAUCAACAGGCAGCAUCGUCAUCCAUCAUCUAUUUCCGACUUUCUGUUUGCCACGCCGCACGCCCCGCCCAUCAAAAUAAAGCAUCCCCCCCAUGGCCUCAUCUGGCUUUCAGCGUUCGCUGAAAUACUUUCUAUUGUUCCAGAUUCUCGCACCCUUUACACGCAAGAACAGUGCUGUACUUCUUCCUCAAGAUCUCCUUGCCCUUGUUAAUUACCAUGCACCACACAUGCUCCUUUUUUUUUUCUCGAACAGCAAAUUUGGGGUCCGAGACAAUUCAAUGCCCCAUCACUCGGGAUCCGGGAUUUUCGGGUAGUUCAUGUUGAGUGAUGACAGGAAAAAUCUGCAAAUACACGCGAACGAAGCUGGAUCAUUCUGGAUUCUGGUUUUGGCCCUCGGAGCUUCGUCGGGUACUGUGGGGCCCUUCAAUGGCCUGCAAUUGCAUUUGAUCGAUAGCGUUUUCUCUUCAUUUUCAUCUUCGACGUACGCUGGAGCCCUGCAAGAAGGCUUGAAACUGUCUCCUGCUUCAUGGGAGUUUGCUAUUCAACUGUGAGUCUGAGACUCCACUUCCAGGGUCCCAUUGGCACGCCUCAUACUUUCUCACUACGGCCUAUGUGGGGCUAAACUGCGGUUCACCCUGCGGCAUGUGUUGAAUGGGCAUGAUUCGUCGCAUCAGGCUGCAGAUCCACGUCAUCUGCGACAUCUCUUCACAAUUCAGCCGUUACUAAAUACCGCCCAUGACUGUCACGCCCCUUACAACUGACUUAUUUGCCAUCCUUUAGCAUUGCUCUGCCGAUUGCUGUUGUGAUAACAACUGCUGUGGGCCUUGUUGUGACUUUUGUUGUGACCGAAGAAGCUAUAGGCCAUACGUCAGGGAACCUCGUGGUGAGUAUCUAUCAGCCUUUAUCUUUAACAGAGCCCUGCUUCUUGACCCCAAGUUAUCUGGGGUUUUUGAGCAUUACGUAGAGCAAGGAAUACGGUAAAUUGACCUAUCAGGAUUCGACCGGUAGUACCGGUAACAGAAGGUCUACAAUUCGGUCUACAUUUUGUUUCAGAACUUUCUGUAUGGGAGAUGAUCCGUACAAUUUUUCCGUAUCGUCUUUGUGCCUUUAAUGGCAAAAACCCUUGUAUCAACCUGCAACAAAAAAUGCUUAUUCUCCUGUGACUGUAGCCCCUCCCCCUCUUGUUGUUCCCGUGCAUCCCUCUGCCCAUUCUGUUAUCCACCAGCCAGCACCCAUACCACCUCCUCUCAUAGUGUAUUCACCAUCUACAAAAAUAUCAAACGCUCAAACGCCUCGAGUAUACCAACCUUCUGUCCUGAUUCCAGAACCCUUUGUCUAUCCUCACCAUAUUGCGUAGGAACAUUAUCCUGAACCGGCCUUACCUGGUCAGCUAUCUACAAGAGAUAGAAAAGAAAAACAGAGAUAAACAAGACCAUCCUAGCAGGAGGUACUCCAGUGACAAAACCCAGCACAAGAGCCGAUAAAAUAGACCUCAGAAAGGAUUUGACACCAAAACCUCACAUUUACCGACGAGAGUUUUUACCUGACCUCGCCACUCUGUUCUGGACAGUAGACCAAUCGUAGGUCACAUCACCUAGAAAAGUCCGGAGAUCCGACCACCUGACAAUUUGCUUCGAACAUCCAACAUUACAACUCCAAUUUCAAGAAAAAAUCGAUCACCAACCCUCUACAUCUCAGCCGCCUAGGCGAACAGCACGCUUUCCAUACGUCUAGGGUUCAUUCCAGCUAUCGCCGCUGAGAGUAUCUGUAACGUAUUUUAUCGAUGUCUCCCCUUUUUAUACACGCCCCUUGCCAAAUCACGAAUCACGGCAGGAAUUCAAGCUUGUCUUCAACCAAGGGUCAUGCUCGCACCCCUUCAACUGAUCAUUUUAUGUUUCCUGAUCGCGCAAACACUGCCGCCGGACGUCGUAGGCGAGAGUCUCUUGAUUUUAUAAGUCCAGAAAGGAUGCUGGUACAACAGUCGUCGAUGCACGUCCAUCAGCAUCUUGAAAGCCGCCAGGAAAGGCAUAAUCGCACGCGCAAGCUUUCCUCCACGGAAACUGUAUAUCCUUCGACUGACGCCGCUAAUAAAGUUCUUCAAUCGCAGAAAGCGGCCAAUCCGAAUCAUCGUAGGGCGCCAACGCCGCAUACAUCUCGACGCAGUCAUUCACAUGAGCGAAUCCAAAAAAUGUCGUCCGAUCGAUCUAUCCGCUCAAGAGUUUCCUUCGAUUCCACCAGGUCGCGAGGAAGUCAAAGGACAAUCCGUUCAGACUUGGGAUACGAGUCUGAUGAUGGCUAUUCUACUGGCAUCAAUGAUCCAAGUUUCGGGAUCACUAACGGAGUUGGCCCAACGGGAGAACCUGUUGAGAUGAUAGGGCUGGGUAGAAAAAAGCCUAAGCAUCGAGUUUUUCAGGCAAACAUGUUAAAACCGGCCCUGCGCAGUCCCACUAAACUCGCUAGUCGGCGUACUGUGGACGAAACGAACUCGGGAGCAUCGUGGAGUGAAAGAUCAGACAAACCUUCACCUUCGCGACCGAUGUCUUAUGUCGGGCCAGUCAUGGGCUCUUUCAGCAGCCUGAGAGAUGGUAUACGAAGUAACACUGGAACACGGUCAUGCUAUCCCUCCCACGAGGUAUACCCGAGAAAUUACCGGUCUGAGACGGGAUCUGACCUGCCCACGAAGGCACAUAAACCUAGAGCUUCAGCCCAUGCAAGAAGUUCUUCUCAACCUACCUGUCACGACGCUAUGCAGAAGUGAUACCCGAAACCGCCACCUCUCUCUGCCGCCGAACCAAAGUACCUCCACCUCCGACGACCGCGGCCGAUCGUCUAAAUUCUCUUUGGUUUCUCAACACCUCUCCUCGUCCUCCGGUCUCCCUCCAGUCAUCUCGCUACCUUCCCGUCUCCCUCGAGCUAUCCAUACAUGCUCUGGUCAGCAUGCUCACCACCUCCU